UGGGCUUUAAUUUUCUUUGCUGGUUCGUCCGUAUGAGAUGGACUUUAUAUUUUCCCUCACUUUCUCGGGAAAUCAAAGAGAAACUAAUGAUGGAACUUGUGGUCUUCCAAAGCCAUAGUUAAUAAAACAGAAAGAAAAAAGUUAAGAGAGUCAGACGAGCCCUUGGGCUAGUGGUCAGCUUGCUUCACCAACCACCAACCAUACUUCAUGCAUGACUUCAAAUCAUUGUGUUUGGCAUUAUGUUACUACUUACUAAUGUUACGGAAAUAAGGGAGAGUUGAAAUGAUUCAGCAUGGCCAGUCUGAUGAUGGAGAUGGAGAAGAAGCAUGUUGUGGCACUGAAGGACUGAGUGUCAAUUUUCUUUGUGGGGACACAUACAUUGCUGUGUCAAAUACUAAAGAUGAGCAUGUCUCCUCGCAGGGUCAAAGAAAUAAACUUUUCACUGGAGGUAAUUUACUGAUAUAUAUGUCAACAAAAGUAAUCAAAAGAAAUCCACAUAUUAAUACGAGGAUAAAGUCUUAUGAUCUAAUUUUAAAAUUCAAGAGACCAGGUCUCUAAAACUCUAAUUUUAAAAUUCAAUUGGAUCCGUCUCUCACUCUCAAGUGAGAAGGGAAGUCAGAGUUUAUUUUUGAUUGGGUAUGUAGUGUAGUGUAGAUUUUGAACUGGAUAU
This is a long non-coding RNA of Tripterygium wilfordii, 670 nucleotides long. RefSeq lists it as uncharacterized. NCBI's taxonomy places the organism in Eukaryota, Viridiplantae, Streptophyta, Magnoliopsida, Celastrales, Celastraceae. The transcript is spliced from 2 exons. The record is from RefSeq and is a predicted model, not a curated record.